This 497-nucleotide ribosomal RNA is filed under the name uncultured bacterium. RNAcentral describes it as "partial 16S ribosomal RNA". It matches the Rfam family "Bacterial small subunit ribosomal RNA", at positions 28 to 507 of the family's 1533-position model. The record is from RNAcentral.
GACGAACGCUGGCGGCGCGCCUAAUACAUGCAAGUUGAGCGCUGAAGGUUGGUACUUGUACCAACUGGAUGAGCAGCGAACGGGUGAGUAACGCGUGGGGAAUCUGCCUUUGAGCGGGGGACAACAUUUGGAAACGAAUGCUAAUACCGCAUAAAAACUUUAAACACAAGUUUUAAGUUUGAAAGAUGCAAUUGCAUCACUCAAAGAUGAUCCCGCGUUGUAUUAGCUAGUUGGUGAGGUAAAGGCUCACCAAGGCGAUGAUACAUAGCCGACCUGAGAGGGUGAUCGGCCACAUUGGGACUGGGACACGGCCCAAACUCCUACGGGAGGCAGCAGUAGGGAAUCUUCGGCAAUGGACGAAAGUCUGACCGAGCAACGCCGCGUGAGUGAAGAAGGUUUUCGGAUCGUAAAACUCUGUUGGUAGAGAAGAACGUUGGUGAGAGUGGAAAGCUCAUCAAGUGACGGUAACUACCCAGAAAGGGACGGCUAACUACGUG